CCAGAGACCCUGCUGUAUGCAUUCAGAUACCAGUGGGAAAUAUUCCCAUUACAUUGUGCUGUAGUGUGACCUGCAGUCUUUAUGCAUCUGGACUUUACUUUUACUAUGGACUCCACAGGCUGUUGACACAUGUGGAGAAUUAACAGAUCUAUCUGUACGACAACAGGAAUACCCAAUGGAAAUAUCUAUGAACUAACUCACACGCUCGCACAUCUUGCAAAGUAUGCAGAUGCUGUGAGUGGGAAGGGUUAAGCACUGAUUCUCCUGGGAGGGAAAAAAUAAUAAUAAAAAAUAAUUUUAAAAAAAAUUCUAAUUUUUAUACUAAGCCAGAAUACACAAACUUCAGCUGUUUAUAUUAUAAUGUUUUUAACAAGAAAUUCUGGAUUUUUUUUUUUUUUUUU
Non-coding RNA from Pelobates cultripes (western spadefoot toad), 401 nucleotides. NCBI's taxonomy places the organism in Eukaryota, Metazoa, Chordata, Amphibia, Anura, Pelobatidae. The record is from the annotation of a GenBank genome assembly.